This is a long non-coding RNA of Cyprinus carpio carpio, 611 nucleotides long. The record is from Ensembl. NCBI's taxonomy places the organism in Eukaryota, Metazoa, Chordata, Actinopteri, Cypriniformes, Cyprinidae.
GGAUGUCUCAUGUGCUUGUUGUCAGUUCUGUUUUCCUUGCUCGUGUCUGAAUUUUUGGAUGUUUGUUUAAGUUUUAAAUGUUUGUGACUGCACCUCGAUCCUGCUUUUUCCAUGUUAUGGUUGUUUUAUGGUGUACAACAAAAUGUCCAAGAAUCUUCGAGUUAUGUUUACCACAGAUUUAAUUUUUUCAUGAAUUGAAAAACCCAGUUAUAAAAGCCCAUCAGAAAAUCUCAAGGGAAAUCAUGCCGAAUUCUUCCUGAAACGGCUGUUGUUGUCAUAGAUUAUGACACGAAGGAAUGACUAAUACACAAAACACUGGAGCAGGGGCGCAAAGGGGCUGCAGUUGUCAUCAAGCUAAAUGAACUGUGAAUAUUUUCAUGGUGCGUGUCAUUAGCAGCUUAGAUUUGUUUCAACAAGGCUUACCUGAGGGCUUGGCCCUCAGGUAUGAAUGGGCUAAUGCACACUCUAAAGCAAAGCCUUCUCCCCUCCGCAGGCAUCUGCAAGCCGAAAGAAGCCUCAUGUUUUCUCCAUUAUGAGAGCAUUCCUGCGCAGACAGGUCAGUCAGUAGUUUGCACAUGGAACUUGCUGAAUCCAUUGAUUUGAAAAGGGCC